This 254-nucleotide ribosomal RNA is filed under the name uncultured bacterium. Its description in RNAcentral is "partial 16S ribosomal RNA". It matches the Rfam family "Bacterial small subunit ribosomal RNA", at positions 524 to 776 of the family's 1533-position model. The record is from RNAcentral.
UACGUAGGGGGCAAGCGUUGUCCGGAUUUAUUGGGCGUAAAGAGCGUGUAGGCGGCUUAGAAAGUCAGGUGUGAAACCUCCAGGCUCAACCUGGAGACGCCACUUGAUACUUCUAUGGCUUGAGUUCGGUAGGGGUAAGCGGAAUUCCUGGUGUAGCGGUGAAAUGCGCAGAUAUCAGGAGGAACACCGAUGGCGAAGGCAGCUUACUGGGCCGAUACUGACGCUGAGGAGCGAAAGCGUGGGGAGCGAACAGG